CUGCGAGUGAAGCGGGAAAAGCUCAAAUUUAAAAUCUGGCGGUCCUUGGCCGUCCGAGUUGUAAUCUAGAGAAGUGUUACCCGCGCUGGACCGUGUACAAGUCUCCUGGAAUGGAGCGUCAUAGAGGGUGAGAAUCCCGUCUCUGACACGGACUACCAGGGCUUUGUGGUAUGCUCUCAAAGAGUCGAGUUGUUUGGGAAUGCAGCUCAAAAUGGGUGGUAAAUUCCAUCUAAAGCUAAAUAUUGGCGAGAGACCGAUAGCGAACAAGUACCGUGAGGGAAAGAUGAAAAGAACUUUGGAAAGAGAGUUAAACAGUACGUGAAAUUGCUGAAAGGGAAACGCUUGAAGUCAGUCACGUUGGCUGGGAAUCAACCUCGCAUUUGCGUGGAGUACUUUCUGGUUGACGGGUCAGCAUCAAUUUUGACCGCUGGAAAAAGGCUUGGGGAAUGUGGCAGCUUCGGCUGUGUUAUAGCCCCUUGUCGCAUACAGUGGUUGGGAUUGAGGAACUCAGCACGCCGCAAGGCCGGGUUUCGACCACGUUCGUGCUUAGGAUGCUGGCAUAAUGGCUUUAAGCGACCCGUCUUGAAACACGGACCAAGGAGUCUAACAUGCCUGCGAGUGUUUGGGUGGAAAACCCGAGCGCGUAAUGAAAGUGAAAGUUGAGAUCCCUGUCGUGGGGAGCAUCGACGCCCGGACCAGAACUUUUGGGACGGAUCCGCGGUAGAGCAUGUAUGUUGGGACCCGAAAGAUGGUGAACUAUGCCUGAAUAGGGUGAAGCCAGAGGAAACUCUGGUGGAGGCUCGUAGCGAUUCUGACGUGCAAAUCGAUCGUCAAAUUUG
RNAcentral lists this ribosomal RNA (839 nucleotides) under Lepiota sp. RNAcentral describes it as "partial large subunit ribosomal RNA". It matches the Rfam family "Eukaryotic large subunit ribosomal RNA", at positions 87 to 913 of the family's 3401-position model. The record is from RNAcentral. Lineage: Eukaryota; Fungi; Basidiomycota; Agaricomycetes; Agaricales; Agaricaceae.